GGGGUUGUGGCUCAAUGGUAGAGCACUUGCCUUGCAUAUGAGAGGCCCUGGGUUCAAUUCUCAACACCA
Molecule: transfer RNA, 69 nt
Filed under: Urocitellus parryii (Arctic ground squirrel)
Lineage: Eukaryota; Metazoa; Chordata; Mammalia; Rodentia; Sciuridae
Also listed under: 2 other names
Description: Spermophilus parryii (Arctic ground squirrel) tRNA
Rfam family: tRNA
About the family: Transfer RNA (tRNA) molecules are approximately 80 nucleotides in length. Their secondary structure includes four short double-helical elements and three loops (D, anti-codon, and T loops).
Source: Rfam by way of RNAcentral